RNAcentral lists this ribosomal RNA (316 nucleotides) under uncultured Anaerolineaceae bacterium. RNAcentral's name for it is "bacterial SSU rRNA". It matches the Rfam family "Bacterial small subunit ribosomal RNA", at positions 1053 to 1382 of the family's 1533-position model. Lineage: Bacteria; Bacillati; Chloroflexota; Anaerolineae; Anaerolineales; Anaerolineaceae. The record is from RNAcentral.
UGUCAGCUCGUGUCGUGAGAUGUUCGGUUAAGUCCGCUAACGAGCGCAACCCUCGCUGUGUGUUAUAUGUGUCACACAGGACUGCUGGUAUUAAGCCGGAGGAAGGUGGGGACGACGUCAAGUCAGCAUGACCUUUAUAUCCAGGGCUACACACACGCUACAAUGGUCAGUACAAUGGGUUGCCAAGCCGCGAGGCGGAGCCAAUCCUAAAAAGCUGGCCUCAGUUCAGAUUGCAGUCUGAAACUCGACUGCAUGAAGUCGGAGUUGCUAGUAAACGCAGGUCAGCUAUACUGCGUUGAAUACGUUCCCGGGGCUU